GGACGAGAUUGAAGCAGUGAUGCC
This 24-nucleotide non-coding RNA is filed under the name Arabidopsis thaliana (thale cress). Lineage: Eukaryota; Viridiplantae; Streptophyta; Magnoliopsida; Brassicales; Brassicaceae. The record is from RNAcentral.